UUUGAAUGGAAUAUAUAUUAUGUGAAUAAACAACAGACUUAUAUAAGACAGCAUUAUGUCCUAUGACGGAAGGAUAGAUUGAGCAGAGUCACGUUCGAAAUGGUGCGAGGUUGAAUAAGACUGGGUCAUGUUCGAAAUGGUUUAAGGUUGGUUGAGCCAACAAAUCGGUCAACAAAUCAGUCUUUCUUUUUUUUUUUGAGAAAUAGAUAGCAUGCUACCUGCUUUGUUUAUUUUAUUUAAAAAUAAACUUAGCUAGAAACGUGAAUCAAUUAGAAUUCGAACUUAAUUGGGAUCUCAAGUACUAACCACCAAGUUUUUUGCCACUUGCGCUAGGAACGAUUGAUAACAAAUCACAAUCAAGAUCUAUGAAUACUGUCUGUGCACUUUUAGUAAAUUGGCUACAUCUUUCUAAAAGCCUGAGUUUUUGGGAUUAAGGUUAAUCUAACAAGUUAUAUAGAGCCGGAUGUCACGGAUUCGAUUCCCACAUACUGUGAAUUUGUACAGGUGCUGCAAAGACGACUAACCAAUCUCUCUUUGAAACUAGAUGCCCGGAGAUGUUUGAUUCGUAUGGCUUAAGGGGACCAGCAUCUUACUCUCUGGUAGGAGACCUGCAGGUUAGGUAAAGUUACUUUCGAAAUGGCGGAAGAUCAGAUUGGGCCUAGUCAUGUUGACUGAUUAAGUCGAAUUACAAUGGAAACCCGAAAAUACCGUGUAUGUGUACUUUAAGUGAAUUAUUUGUUUCUUUAAAAACUCGAGCUUUAAGAUUAAUGGUUAGCGCCAAUAAUCCUGUAGGAAUCGGUUUAGGAUCAGUCUUUACACUAAUUGUUUAGUCUUUACACUAAGGGCGUGUUUGGAUCCAUGUAAAAGCAGUCCGAAAAUUUUAUUUCAGUUGAAAAUUUUUUUUCCAUUGUUUGGUUCUCUAUAAAAAAAUUUUCUCGGAAUUUUUUUUUUUACGAAAA
This 959-nucleotide long non-coding RNA is filed under the name Ananas comosus (pineapple). RNAcentral's name for it is "long non-coding RNA (ACOM_LNC018199)". Lineage: Eukaryota; Viridiplantae; Streptophyta; Magnoliopsida; Poales; Bromeliaceae. The record is from RNAcentral.